UGUACAUGGUUUUCAGAACUGUACCUUCAGAUAUAGACGCAGACACGCCGCUCGCCCCGCUCGCAGACGCAGGAGGACUCACAGGUCCUCCCAUGUCCACCGACGUAGGAGAGUUGUCCGACGCAGACGCUAGGCAACGCCAAUAAACAUGUAGCACAGGGCCCGAACAACUGUA
Etheostoma spectabile (orangethroat darter) is the source of this 175-nucleotide long non-coding RNA. RefSeq lists it as uncharacterized. The record is from RefSeq and is a predicted model, not a curated record. Lineage: Eukaryota; Metazoa; Chordata; Actinopteri; Perciformes; Percidae. The transcript has 2 exons.